RNAcentral lists this ribosomal RNA (587 nucleotides) under uncultured bacterium. RNAcentral describes it as "partial 16S ribosomal RNA". It matches the Rfam family "Bacterial small subunit ribosomal RNA", at positions 355 to 1376 of the family's 1533-position model. The record is from RNAcentral.
UGGGGAAUAUUGGACAAUGGGCGAAAGCCUGAUCCAGCCAUGCCGCGUGUGUGAAGAAGGCCUUUUGGUUGUAAAGCACUUUAAAGCGAGGAGGAGGCUACUUGGAUUAAUACUCUAGGAUAGUGGACGUUACUCGCAGAAUAAGCACCGGCUAACUCUGUGCCAGCAGCCGCGGUAAUACAGAGGGUGCGAGCGUUAAUCGGAUUUACUGGGCGUAAAGCGUGCGUAGGCGGCUUUUUAAGUCGGAUGUGAAAUCCCUGAGCUUAACUUAGGAAUUGCAUUCGAUACUGGGAAGCUAGAGUAUGGGAGAGAUGGUAGAAUUCCAGGUGUAGCGGUGAAAUGCGUAGAGAUCUGGAGGAAUACCGAUGGCGAAGGCAGCCAUCUGGCCUAAUACUGACGCUGAGGUACGAAAGCAUGGGGAGCAAACAGGAUUAGAUACCCUGGUAGUCCAUGCCGUAAACGAUGUCUACUAGCCGUUGGGGCCUUUGAGGCUUUAGUGGCGCAGCUAACGCGAUAAGUAGACCGCCUGGGGAGUACGGUCGCAAGNCUAAAACUUAAUGAAUUGACGGGGUCAUAGCUGUUUCCUG